GGACGAACGCUGGCGGCGUGCUUAACACAUGCAAGUCGAACGAAAAUACCAAGCUUGCUUGGUUGAUUAGUGGCGAACGGGUGAGUAACACGUGAGUAACCUGCCCCUUACUUUCUGGAUAACUGCUCGAAAGGGUAGCUAAUACGGGAUAUUCUGGCCUUCCUGCAUGGGUUGGUUUGGAAAGGUUUUUUCUGGUGAGGGAUGGGCUCGCGGCCUAUCAGCUUGUUGGUGGGGUGAUGGCCUACCAAGGCUUUGACGGGUAGCCGGCCUGAGAGGGUGGACGGUCACACUGGGACUGAGAUACGGCCCAGACUCCUACGGGAGGCAGCAGUGGGGAAUAUUGCACAAUGGGCGCAAGCCUGAUGCAGCGACGCCGCGUGAGGGAUGAAGGCCUUCGGGUUGUAAACCUCUUUCGUCAGGGAACAAGGCACUGCUUUUGGUGGUGUUGAGGGUACCUGGAUAAGAAGCGCCGGCUAACUAC
RNAcentral lists this ribosomal RNA (481 nucleotides) under Actinomycetales bacterium 'ARUP UnID 104'. RNAcentral's name for it is "bacterial SSU rRNA". It matches the Rfam family "Bacterial small subunit ribosomal RNA", at positions 27 to 504 of the family's 1533-position model. The record is from RNAcentral. Lineage: Bacteria; Bacillati; Actinomycetota; Actinomycetes; Actinomycetales.